UUUGCUACUCCGUUUAUAAAA
This 21-nucleotide non-coding RNA is filed under the name Caenorhabditis elegans. Lineage: Eukaryota; Metazoa; Nematoda; Chromadorea; Rhabditida; Rhabditidae. The record is from RNAcentral.